CUUCAUGUAUGUAUGUCUCACCUGCUGGUUUCACCUCCUCCAGAUCCUUCAGACCUUUCUUGAUUUUCUCUCUGUGAACGAAAAAAAGGAGUUUAACCAGGCAGAGGCAGCAGGGCUCGUCCUGGCCGCUGGCACCCAUCAGUGCUGCCAAAGCCAACUCACAGAAACCUGGACUGCUGCUGGCCAGGACAGCUGGCCAAAAGAGAACAAAGGCAACAUCAUGCCAGCUGGAUGGUACUCCUGAGGGUGUCCACUGUCCCAAACCACUUGCUUUCCAACAGUGAGCCCCAAAGGUUCAAAACGCAGAAGGCUGUGCAUGGUGGUAGCUUCUGGACAGAAGGGAAAGAGCAGAGGUCGUGUUGGUUUUGAGAAAGCUGAGAGGACACCAAAGGACUCUGACAGCAGUGCCACUGUCCUCUACUGAGAGCACUCAUUCCACACAACAAUUUCCCAAUUUCUGGUUUUUUAACGCAAAGCACUGCAAUCCUCAGCUGUUUGUACAGAGCAGUCAGCCAGGAUUUACAGCAGCUAUUUCAAGAGGAGCUGGACUUGCCCGACCACACUGCUGACUGUAACAAAGUUGAUUAUAUUUCGUCGCCACGCUCCCAGACCUACAAGGGAAAACCAGAGCACAUCAGCGGCCUGAUCUGGGGUGACAUUUCGGGGAGAAACUGACAAUAUUCGCGGUUCCAGACAUCUCGAGGUACCCGCAGCUCUCGCCGGCUGCGGAGGUGAAUCAGACUGCAAAAAGGAUCUUGCUUUUCCCUCGGCAGGAAGAGAUGGGGAAGUCAGAGUCAUCCUGCUGGAGAGUUUUCCUGUCAUCUCACUUCAGCCCUGCUCCUGCUGUCUCUGGAUGGUUCGCUGUAGCCACGGCGCUCUGACCUGACACAUCUGUGUCACAGUGCCUUCUCCACGCCGCCGAUCCCAACGCCGAGCCAAGCCUCCCCAUGAUGCAAGUUGGAAACUUUACCAGAGCCCGUGGACCAGCAGUGAAUAAUGUCAGCCAGAGAUCUGGCUCACAAAGUUCUUAAUGCCUUUGAGCUAGCAAGGCCAAAGAGUAAGCAAGCGGUGUUUUACAGUCUCUGUGGAUACACAAAACAUGGACGAUUAAGGACAGAGCAGCCUGGGCUUUUCCAGAGACCCAGCCAAAAGAAAGGCCGAGCUGAGCAGAGGCUUGCGAGACAGCAGAGGAAGCUUGCUGAGCUUCCCAAAACCAGAUGCACUCCAGCUUUCCAAGCUGCACGAGUCCACCCCAAGCCCCAGGAGCGCUCGCCUUGCCCAGGAGUGCGUGUCAUGUUAUCCAGAUGUUGGAAAUCUUGCUUCAGGCGCAUGUGACUCCAUGUGUUUGGAACAAGCCUCCACUGCCAGUUCGCUCUUUACUUGUUUCCAAGUGUGUGAAUUCCUCUUUUAGCCUGUGGUUUCUGCUGAAGAAGCAGAUAAAUCACGGCUAUUUUGCUGGAAUGAACGGAUGAGAGGGAGAUAGGCAUGUAGGGCAUAUAGUGGCUCAUGGCUGUUUGGCUUCUUUCACACAAGGGGUGGAGCCUCCUUUCCCAAUUCCCAGAACUUGUUCGCUGAUGCUUGGCUCUCUCCCCAACCUCUUCCAGUGCCACAGUGCUGCACAGGGUGCCCAGCCCCAUCAGGGCAGGCUCUUUUCCCUGUGUGCACACAAACCCUCGGGAAAGCAGCCUCCUGAGCUAGUAUCUUCAUGAUAUCCCAGGAGCCAGAUGAGGCAUCAGCGGCUUGCCAAUGCCAAAACAAACCAUGUUGCAGCAGCAGGAGGGGACCUUGGCUCUUGGCUGCACCAAGGCACCCAGGCCAGCUGCAGAUCUCUGCCCCAACCCCAGCUGAGUGUCCCGCUGCCUCUGUGUGUUGGUUCUGCACCUGGAGCAGGCACAGCUUGCCCUCGCUCCCCAUCCCGCCCGUCUGGAAUCCAGGUCACUUGCACGAGAACCUCCUUUACGCUGGCUUCUGGUGCCUGGAGGCUGGGACAGCAGGGAAACCAGGGGGAGCAGGGAGAAACCCCCUUCAGUCAAGGAAAACAGAACUCUUAAAAAAAUACAGCUACAAAGUAACCCAGCCCUAGAAGCAGAAGGUUUGACGUGAAUGGUCGAUGAGCAAAUGAACUCCAGUUCACUGCCAAGGUUUAUUGCAGAGAAAGUAGUAAACAGAACAGCUUACAGCAUCUUUGGGAUUAUACAGUUCCCUCCUUCAUCUCCAGCACUUGCAGAUGAUUUCCCCAAAUGUUGUCCCUUAACAUCCACCCACUCCCAUCUUUUUUUUGGCCCAGGGUGGUCGGGAAGACCUCAGGCAAACGGUGCCAAAGCAAACUCGUCGUAUUUGGGGGCGAGCAGUUGGAAGGAAAAGUCACCCUUGCUGUAACCUGGCCAUGAGCCUGGCCCUGCCCGUGGGUCCUCAGGAAUGCUGCAGCGGAAAGGUGGUGCCUGGGGGGAAGUCCUUCAGUGCUGUGGCAAGAUGACCUUAGGACUGGAGUCAUACAGUGGCUUGGUGGCCACACAAGCUGCCUUCUGCUUAGACUACAGAGGGUCUGGAGGGCUUUGUUGCUUCAGAAAUCCAGUUCAGGUCCAGGAUACCUCUGCCCAACAGCUGUGAGCCAGCCUGCUUUCUUCAGGAUGCUCAGUGAUUGCCAACAUUUGGAAAAAUCAAACUUGUGUGCUUCUGUGUCUGCAGCUGCCAUGCUGAUUAAUUAAAUCUCCUUUCUGACUCAGGUCUGGGAUUGCCCUUCUGCCAAAUGAUCCAGGGGCAGCAUGGAAUGGGACAGCUCCACAGCCCUGGCACCAGCCAGCGCUUCCAGACACCCUGAGCUGUGCAAACACAAGGAUGGGUGAUGAUCAUGACGGGGAGCCUUGAGCCAGGGCAGCUCACAGAAAAUAUUUUUCUUCUCCCCUCACAGGAUAUGAACCACACUUGGAAGUCUCAUGCUUUGUAAAAGGAAAGAGAAACCAGAGGGGCUCCAGCAGUUACACAACAUGCAGGAGCUGUUUGAGAGCUGCCUCCUGAAGGAUUAGCUACAAAUCCUUGUUCCCUUUACAGCUGAAGCCUUGUGUCUGCACGCAUCCUGUAAAGCAGUGUAGAAAUGAAUAAAUAAAAAGGACAGCAUUAAGUAACACAGGAACUCUCAUGUCCAUGUGGUACUGCCUGCAUCAUCCAGAUGGAAAGUAUCUCUCUAGACAAAUCUGGGAAUUAUGCAAGCUCGGAAUUCCUGAAUAGCUCUUCCUUUCCAACAUCAUGAAGCAUUUGUAGUGCCCACUGAAAAUACUCACAGAAACACAGGGGGGGAAAGAAACCCUUCAAUUCCAACAGCCAGGAAACCUAAACACUAGCAGUAUGUUGGAUGAGAGACGGUAUUAGUGCAGGAAUAUGGAGCAGUGUCCCUGCUGUGUGCACGCUGACUCAUCCCUGAGGAGCCAGGAUGAUCCCUGAUGCUCCCUCCUGUCUCAGCAGAAGCGGAGCAGGCAGCUGAGCUUCUUGGGGUUCUCUGCUGCCUGAUGCCCUGGACGAGGCACAGAGAUGCUUGUUUCCACUUUUGCAAAGCUGUUUGUUUCCACGGUGCUCAGACAAGCAGAAGGAAUGAAAACAAAGAGGGAAAGAUGGGCUGUCCUGGUGCAAACCACAACGGCAUAAAAAUAAAUCACUCUGCCUGGGAGAGGAAAAAAAAAGCAGGACGGAAAACAUGGAAAUCCCACUCUGGCCCAGGAGCUGCUGCUGGCUCUGAGCAACGCCCAGGGAUCACCGGGGCUGGGAGUUUAGCACAACUCUAGAGUUGUAGUGACCCUUUUUGGUGUUCUUGGGAAACAACGGCCCAGCCAGAGGAGACAGAAGAAUGGAGCAGCCAGGAACUCUCCCUGCAGAGCAGUGCAACCCAGGGAAAAGAUGACACAAUUCUCAAUAUUAUAUGGAGAAAAAUAAUUUUUUAAAAAGCAUGGGUCAUGAUCCAGCAGUCAUCCAGUUUGUGGCAGUUUUAUCACUGGCCCCAGGAGGACAGGUUCAAACCUUCUGCGGGUGCAUCCAAAUAGAAACAUCACUUGUGUUCAGUUUGGGGUCACGCUGGAGGAAAAGGAGCUGACGUUUAUCCAUCUGGCCUGGCCCCUUCGGUGCUGCAAAGGAGAGCAAGAGAGAGCAUUGUGUCAGUUCUGUGCUGCCAGGCCCAGGAGAAAAAGAGUAAAGAGCUACUGGAAGACUGGGUGAUAAAACAACUGCUUGUACCACUGUCUGGGGGCACUCAGGACAACAUUUAUGCAGGGCCAGGGGGGCUGCAGCAGGACAUCGUGCCUGAGCCACCAUUGGAUCAGCAGCCCAGAAAGCAGAUGUGCCAAUUUCCUGUCCUUGAUGAUGAUGGGCCCUAAUUACGCCAGAGCUGUGGCAAUGUCCUUUCUAGUGUAUGACCCCUAAUUUGGUUUCAUGAAGUCAUCUGUGCCAGGUUCUUCCGGCUGCAAGGCUGGGGCAAGUGACAGUCACGAAGAGCCCUGAGCUCUGUGUGGCCAAACACCUGGCCCGUGCUUUGAACAAACAAAAUUCAACUAGGAACAAAUAAACAACCCACUGGGAGGUGGGUCAUUUGCUUGG
Taeniopygia guttata (zebra finch) is the source of this 4584-nucleotide non-coding RNA. The record is from RefSeq and is a predicted model, not a curated record. Lineage: Eukaryota; Metazoa; Chordata; Aves; Passeriformes; Estrildidae.